This is a non-coding RNA of Henosepilachna vigintioctopunctata, 75 nucleotides long. The record is from the annotation of a GenBank genome assembly. Lineage: Eukaryota; Metazoa; Arthropoda; Insecta; Coleoptera; Coccinellidae.
GACAUCGGUAGUUAAGCGGUCCAAAGCAUUGGGGCGUGAACCUGAAGACGUGGGUUCGAAUCCCAGUCGAGUUCA